This 406-nucleotide ribosomal RNA is filed under the name uncultured bacterium. RNAcentral describes it as "partial 16S ribosomal RNA". It matches the Rfam family "Bacterial small subunit ribosomal RNA", at positions 30 to 526 of the family's 1533-position model. The record is from RNAcentral.
AUUGAACGCUGGCGGCAGGCCUAACACAUGCAAGUCGAACGAGUGGCGGACGGGUGAGUAAUGUCUGGGAAACUGCCCGAUGGAGGGGGAUAACUACUGGAAACGGUAGCUAAUACCGCAUACCAUCGGAUGUGCCCAGAUGGGAUUCGCUAGUAGGUGGGGUAACGGCUCACCUCGGCGCCGAUCCCUAGCUGGUCUGAGAGGAUUACCAGCCACAAUGGAACGGCGCCACGGGCCAGAGUCCUACGGGAGGCAGCAGUGGGGAAUAUUGCACAAGGGGCGGAAGCCUGAUGAGGCCAUGCCGCGUGUAUGAAGAAGGCCUUCGGGUUGUAAAGUACUUUAAGCGAGGAGGCGUUACUCGCAGAAGAAGCACCGGCUAACUCCGUGCCAGCAGCCGCGGUAAUAC